CGGUAAUACGUAGGGUGCGAGCGUUAAUCGGAAUUACUGGGCGUAAAGCGUGCGCAGGCGGAUUGUUAAGCAAGAUGUGAAAUCCCCGGGCUUAACCUGGGAAUGGCAUUUUGAACUGGCAGUCUAGAGUGUGUCAGAGGGGGGUGGAAUUCCACGUGUAGCAGUGAAAUGCGUAGAGAUGUGGAGGAACACCGAUGGCGAAGGCAGCCCCCUGGGAUAACACUGACGCUCAUGUACGAAAGCGUGGGUAGCAAACAGGAUUAGAUACCCUGGUAGUCCACGCCCUAAACAAUGUCAACUGGUUGUUGGGGGAGUGAAAUCCCUUAGUAACGAAGCUAACGCGUGAAGUUGACCGCCUGGGGAGUACGGUCGCAAGAUUAAA
This 382-nucleotide ribosomal RNA is filed under the name uncultured bacterium. RNAcentral's name for it is "bacterial SSU rRNA". It matches the Rfam family "Bacterial small subunit ribosomal RNA", at positions 518 to 898 of the family's 1533-position model. The record is from RNAcentral.